This is a long non-coding RNA of Molossus molossus (Pallas's mastiff bat), 1060 nucleotides long. RefSeq lists it as uncharacterized. NCBI's taxonomy places the organism in Eukaryota, Metazoa, Chordata, Mammalia, Chiroptera, Molossidae. The transcript is spliced from 3 exons. The record is from RefSeq and is a predicted model, not a curated record.
GUGCCCUGACUGGGAACUGGUGACCUCUUGGUGCAUGGGUCCAAGCUCAACCACUGAGCCACACCGGCAGGACAAGCACGUGACCUUGCCAGCCUCAUUAUCCACUGUGAAGAGCAUGGCUGACGUCUGUGGGGAAUGCAUCUUGAAGAACUUCAAGGCUUCAUUCGGGGCCUUGGCUGAUGUGCCGCUCUCUAGCUCCAGGAUGGUUGGGGUUGCUGCCAAUGAGUCGCUUCUGGGCAUCGGCUUUGCUAGCCCGGUCUAGGUCAUCCAUGUUCUUCUUCAGGGAUUUGAGAUUCUCCCAGAAUUCAUCCUUCUACCACUGGGGAACGAGAGCAGUGGCCAAGGCCUCACUAAGACACAGUGAGAUGGUGGCCAUCUACAAAUCAGGAAGAAGGAUCUCACCAGACAUCAAAUCUGCUGGCACCUUGAAGUUGAGUUCUCACCCUCCAGAAUUGUGAGAUAUAAAGGAUCAACAACAAGCCUGCAUUGUUAUCACUGAGUACAGGGCUGUGACCCACAUCAAAUGAGAUCAUGAAGAUGGGUUGAGUUUCUGGUGAAUAGGUGACAGCAGUGCUAAAUCAGUCCUCUGUGCUGACUGACACUGGCACCAGGAAAAUGUCUGCAGGGAUUCUGUCUAGCAGCAAGAGGACCUGACCCCAACUCAAUUGUCUCAGUCAUGAAAAAACUUCCCUGAAUUCGAGCUUUUAGCAGUUUGCUUUCCUUACUUUUUGCCUAUUGGGACAAUGCGUUUUCUGGAUGAUAGUUGUUUUCUUUUUUUCCUUCUAUUAUAAUUCCAUUAUGGCAUUUAUAUGACUUGUAUAAAUAAAAUAGUAGCUCUAAAUUGUAGGGGGUGCUGUGAUAGCAUUAUUUUUUCCUAAGAAAUAGAAAUCUUUAACAUAGAUACAUUUCUCAGAAGUUUUGGCUUCUCAAAAGUCAAUAGCUGCAUUGCUGUAUCCCAUGUGCUGGAUUAGUAAAGAAGAUACUUGUCCAGCAAAAGGAAUAAACUUGACAAAUACAUAAACCACUUUGAUUUUGUUUUCGUUUUCCCUUGUCUGCAAAU